Gymnogyps californianus (California condor) is the source of this 472-nucleotide long non-coding RNA. RefSeq lists it as uncharacterized. Lineage: Eukaryota; Metazoa; Chordata; Aves; Accipitriformes; Cathartidae. The transcript is spliced from 4 exons. The record is from RefSeq and is a predicted model, not a curated record.
AGGCCGGUGGGGCAUGACCUGCUUGGUACCUGCUUUGGAAAGCACGUGUAGAGCUGCUGCUUUGGCUCCAAGGCUCUGGUGUGAGGCCCGUGCGUGGGGUUCAUCUUGGUGGGGAAGUGCCCGCGCCAGAGACAGGGACCCAAAACGAGACAGACAGACGCGCUCAGACACACGCCCCCGCAGGGAAAUUAAUACUGGAGGAAAGGUCAUCACAAGUAAAUUCUCCACGAUGUCAGAUCACAUGAUGGCGAAACAGGUUUGAAGCCCCAGCUCUCAAAGCAACUUCCAGCGGACCAUGACGGGAAUCAAGGCUCCUUUAAAACAAACCUGGCGCGGCGCGCAGCGAUGGAUCCUAUCCAGCAACGGGUUUAUUGCGCGGGGAUGUUCUACAGGCUUAAUUACAUCUUAACUUCAAUAUUUGUUGAGUGCAUUAGCCGCAUAUAUAUUUAAUCAGGCGGAGGCGCUCUUUCCU